GAUGAACGCUGGCGGCGUGCCUAAUACAUGCAAGUCGAGCGAACGGACGAGAAGCUUGCUUUUCUGAUGUUAGCGGCGGACGGGUGAGUAACACGUGGAUAACCUACCUAUAAGACUGGGAUAACUUCGGGAAACCGGAGCUAAUACCGGAUAAUAUUUUGAACCGCAUGGUUCAAAAGUGAAAGACGGUCUUGCUGUCACUUAUAGAUGGAUCCGCGUUGCAUUAGCUAGUUGGUAAGGUAACGGCUUACCAAGGCAACGAUGCAUAGCCGACCUGAGAGGGUGAUCGGCCACACUGGAACUGAGACACGGUCCAGACUCCUACGGGAGGCAGCAGUAGGGAAUAUUCCGCAAUGGGCGAAAGCCUGACGGAGCAACGCCGCGUGAGUGAUGAAGGUCUUCGGAUCGUAAAACUCUGUUAUUAGGGAAGAACAUAUGUGUAAGUAACUGUGCACAUCUUGACGGUACCUAAUCAGAAAGCCACGGCUAACUACGUG
This 497-nucleotide ribosomal RNA is filed under the name uncultured bacterium. RNAcentral describes it as "partial 16S ribosomal RNA". It matches the Rfam family "Bacterial small subunit ribosomal RNA", at positions 28 to 507 of the family's 1533-position model. The record is from RNAcentral.